CCCUUAGAUGUUCUGGGCCGCACGCGUGCUACACUGAGUGGAUCAGCGGGUCAGGUUGCGCGAAAGCGUUUCCUAAUCUUUAAAUCCGCUCGUGAUGGGGAUUGACGGUUGCAAUUUUCUGUCAUGAACGAGGAAUACCUUGUAAGCGCGGGUCAUCAUCCCGCGCUGAAUACGUCCCUGCCCUUUGUACACACCGCCCGUCGCUGCUACCGAUUGAGUGGUCCGGUGAAUUAUUCGGACCGGUGGACUGUGGGGUAACUCGCGGUCUGCUGGGAAGUCUUGUGAACCUUAUCACUUAGAGGAAGCAGAAGUCGUAACA
This 319-nucleotide ribosomal RNA is filed under the name uncultured eukaryote. RNAcentral's name for it is "partial 18S ribosomal RNA". It matches the Rfam family "Eukaryotic small subunit ribosomal RNA", at positions 1470 to 1796 of the family's 1831-position model. The record is from RNAcentral.